GGACGUGCGGCGUGCUAAUACAUGCAAGUCGAGCGGACAGAUGGGAGCUUGCUCCCUGAUGUUAGCGGCGGACGGGUGAGUAACACGUGGGUAACCUGCCUGUAAGACUGGGAUAACUCCGGGAAACCGGGGCUAAUACCGGAUGGUUGUUUGAACCGCAUGGUUCAAACAUAAAAGGUGGCUUCGGCUACCACUUACAGAUGGACCCGCGGCGCAUUAGCUAGUUGGUGAGGUAACGGCUCACCAAGGCAACGAUGCGUAGCCGACCUGAGAGGGUGAUCGGCCACACUGGGACUGAGACACGGCCCAGACUCCUACGGGAGGCAGCAGUAGGGAAUCUUCCGCAAUGGACGAAAGUCUGACGGAGCAACGCCGCGUGAGUGAUGAAGGUUUUCGGAUCGUAAAGCUCUGUUGUUAGGGAAGAACAAGUACCGUUCGAAUAGGGCGGUACCUUGACGGUACCUAACCAGAAAGCCACGGCUAACUACGUGCCAGCAGCCGCGGUAAUACGUAGGUGGCAAGCGUUGUCCGGAAUUAUUGGGCGUAAAGGGCUCGCAGGCGGUUUCUUAAGUCUGAUGUGAAAGCCCCCGGCUCAACCGGGGAGGGUCAUUGGAAACUGGGGAACUUGAGUGCAGAAGAGGAGAGUGGAAUUCCACGUGUAGCGGUGAAAUGCGUAGAGAUGUGGAGGAACACCAGUGGCGAAGGCGACUCUCUGGUCUGUAACUGACGCUGAGGAGCGAAAGCGUGGGGAGCGAACAGGAUUAGAACCGG
This 771-nucleotide ribosomal RNA is filed under the name Bacillus licheniformis. RNAcentral's name for it is "bacterial SSU rRNA". It matches the Rfam family "Bacterial small subunit ribosomal RNA", at positions 31 to 789 of the family's 1533-position model. Lineage: Bacteria; Bacillati; Bacillota; Bacilli; Caryophanales; Bacillaceae. The record is from RNAcentral.